CGAAGGGGGCUAGCGUUGUUCGGAAUUACUGGGCGUAAAGCGAACGUAGGCGGUGUUCCAUGUCAGAGGUGGAAGCCUGGGGCUCAACUCCAGAAUUGCCUUUGAAACGGGAACGCUUGAGUCCGAGAGAGGGUGGCGGAAUUCCUAGUGUAGAGGUGAGAUUCGUAGAUAUUAGGAAGAACACCAGUGGCGAAGGCGGCCACCUGGCUCGGUACUGACGCUCAGGUUCGAAAGCGUGGGGAGCAAACAGGAUUAGAUACCCUGGUAGUCCACGCCGUAAACGAUGAGUGCUAGUUGUUGGGAAGUUUACUUCUCAGUGACGCAGCUAACGCGAUAAGCACUCCGCCUGGGGAGUACGGCCGCAAGGUUA
This 370-nucleotide ribosomal RNA is filed under the name uncultured organism. RNAcentral's name for it is "bacterial SSU rRNA". It matches the Rfam family "Bacterial small subunit ribosomal RNA", at positions 526 to 896 of the family's 1533-position model. The record is from RNAcentral.